GACGAACGCUGGCGGCGUGCUUAACACAUGCAAGUCGAACGGAAAGGCCCUGCUUUUGUGGGGUGCUCGAGUGGCGAACGGGUGAGUAACACGUGAGUAACCUGCCCUUGACUUUGGGAUAACUUCAGGAAACUGGGGCUAAUACCGGAUAGGAGCUCCUGCUGCAUGGUGGGGGUUGGAAAGUUUCGGCGGUUGGGGAUGGACUCGCGGCUUAUCAGCUUGUUGGUGGGGUAGUGGCUUACCAAGGCUUUGACGGGUAGCCGGCCUGAGAGGGUGACCGGCCACAUUGGGACUGAGAUACGGCCCAGACUCCUACGGGGGGCAGCAGUGGGGAAUAUUGCACAAUGGGCGGAAGCCUGAUGCAGCAACGCCGCGUGCGGGAUGACGGCCUUCGGGUUGUAAACCGCUUUCGCCUGUGACGAAGCGUGAGUGACGGUAAUGGGUAAAUAAGCACCGGCUAACUACGUG
This 468-nucleotide ribosomal RNA is filed under the name uncultured bacterium. RNAcentral describes it as "partial 16S ribosomal RNA". It matches the Rfam family "Bacterial small subunit ribosomal RNA", at positions 28 to 507 of the family's 1533-position model. The record is from RNAcentral.